UACGUAGGGUGCGAGCGUUGUCCGGAAUUAUUGGGCGUAAAGGGCUCGUAGGCGGUUUGUCACGUCGGGAGUGAAAACUCAGGGCUCAACCCUGAGCCUGCUUCCGAUACGGGCAGACUAGAGGUAUGCAGGGGAGAACGGAAUUCCUGGUGUAGCGGUGAAAUGCGCAGAUAUCGGAGGAAGACACCGGUGGCGAAGGCGGGUCUCUGGGCCGUACUGACUCGUGAGGAGCGAAAGCGUGGGGAG
RNAcentral lists this ribosomal RNA (246 nucleotides) under uncultured bacterium. Its description in RNAcentral is "partial 16S ribosomal RNA". It matches the Rfam family "Bacterial small subunit ribosomal RNA", at positions 524 to 768 of the family's 1533-position model. The record is from RNAcentral.